RNAcentral lists this ribosomal RNA (520 nucleotides) under uncultured Glomus. RNAcentral describes it as "SSU rRNA". It matches the Rfam family "Eukaryotic small subunit ribosomal RNA", at positions 569 to 1092 of the family's 1831-position model. Lineage: Eukaryota; Fungi; Glomeromycota; Glomeromycetes; Glomerales; Glomeraceae. The record is from RNAcentral.
AGCAGCCGCGGUAAUUCCAGCUCCAAUAGCGUAUAUUAAAGUUGCUGCAGUUAAAAAGCUCGUAGUUGAAUUUCGGGAUCGAUAUAUCGGUCGUGCCUCGGUACGUACUGGUAUUUUCGGUUUCUCCCUUCUGACGAACCUUGAUGUCAUUAAUUUGGUGUCUUGGGGAAUCAGGACUGUUACUUUGAAAAAAUUAGAGUGUUUAAAGCAGGCUCACGCUUGAAUACAUUAGCAUGGAAUAAUGAAAUAGGACGUUCGAUCCUAUUUUGUUGGUUUCUAGGAUUGACGUAAUGAUUAAUAGGGAUAGUUGGGGGCAUUAGUAUUCAAUUGUCAGAGGUGAAAUUCUUGGAUUUAUUGAAGACUAACUACUGCGAAAGCAUUUGCCAAGGAUGUUUUCAUUAAUCAAGAACGAAAGUUAGGGGAUCGAAGACGAUCAGAUACCGUCGUAGUCUUAACCAUAAACUAUGCCGACUAGGGAUCGGAUGAUGUUAAUUUUUAAUGACUCAUUCGGCGCCUUAAC